AUUCUCACUUUGGCAGCAUAUAUACGAAAUUGGAAUGAUCCAGAGAUGAUGAGCAGGGCCCCUGAACGAGAAUGACACACAAAUUUGUGAGGCAUUCCAUAUUCUU
This 106-nucleotide small nuclear RNA is filed under the name Dasypus novemcinctus (nine-banded armadillo). The record is from RNAcentral. Lineage: Eukaryota; Metazoa; Chordata; Mammalia; Cingulata; Dasypodidae.